RNAcentral lists this non-coding RNA (30 nucleotides) under Mus musculus (house mouse). Lineage: Eukaryota; Metazoa; Chordata; Mammalia; Rodentia; Muridae. The record is from RNAcentral.
UGGCAUAAUGAGAAUAUCUCACGGUAUCUU